UUUGGGUUUAUUUUGCGCAGUAUAGGUGGGAGGCUAAGAUAAUAAGCUUGAGGGCUUAUUGGAGCCAAUAGUGAGAUACCACUCUAAAUAAACUAGAAUUCUAACUUUGAUAGUCGUUAACCGGCCAAAGAACAGUUUCAGGUGGGCAGUUUGACUGGGGCGGUCGCCUCCUAAAAGGUAACGGAGGCGUGCAAAGGUUCCUUCAGGCUGGUCGGAAAUCAGUCGUAGAGUGUAAAGGCAUAAGGGAGCUUGACUGCAAGACCUACAAGUCGAGCAGAGACGAAAGUCGGCCUUAGUG
This 298-nucleotide ribosomal RNA is filed under the name Gibsmithia sp. RNAcentral's name for it is "partial 23S ribosomal RNA". It matches the Rfam family "Bacterial large subunit ribosomal RNA", at positions 2122 to 2417 of the family's 2925-position model. Lineage: Eukaryota; Rhodophyta; Florideophyceae; Gigartinales; Dumontiaceae. The record is from RNAcentral. RNAcentral also lists the same sequence under 1 other name.